Molecule: small RNA, 922 nt
Filed under: Pan troglodytes (chimpanzee)
Lineage: Eukaryota; Metazoa; Chordata; Mammalia; Primates; Hominidae
Description: processed transcript
Source: RNAcentral
CGCUCCCCUGACGUGGGCUGGGGCACGUCACCGCCGAAUGGCAGCCUCCAGAAAGCCACCGCGAGUAAGGGCGAAUCACCAGGAUUUUCAACUGAGAAAUUUAAGAAUAAUUGAACCUAACGAGGUGACACACUCAGGAGACACAGGUGUGGAAACAGACGGCAGAAUGCCUCCAAAGGUGACUUCAGAGCUGCUUCGGCAGCUGAGACAAGCCAUGAGGAACUCUGAGUAUGUGACGGAACCGAUCCAGGCCUACAUCAUCCCAUCGGGAGAUGCUCAUCAGGCACAGCCAUCAUCACAGAAGAGCAUGCAGCCAUGUGGACUGACGGGCGCUACUUUCUCCAGGCUGCCAAGCAAAUGGACAGCAACUGGACACUUAUGAAGAUGGGUCUGAAGGACACACCAACUCAGGAAGACUGGCUGGUGAGUGUGCUUCCUGAAGGAUCCAGGGUUGGUGUGGACCCCUUGAUCAUUCCUACAGAUUAUUGGAAGAAAAUGGCCAAAGUUCUGAGAAGUGCCGGCCACCACCUCAUUCCUGUCAAGGAGAACCUCGUUGACAAAAUCUGGACAGACCGUCCUGAGCGCCCUUGCAAGCCUCUCCUCACACUGGGCCUGGAUUACACAGGCAUCUCCUGGAAGGACAAGGUUGCAGACCUUCGGUUGAAAAUGGCUGAGAGGAACGUCAUGUGGUUUGUGGUCACUGCCUUGGAUGAGAUUGCGUGGCUAUUUAAUCUCCGAGGAUCAGAUGUGGAGCACAAUCCAGUAUUUUUCUCCUACGCAAUCAUAGGACUAGAGACGAUCAUGCUCUUCAUUGAUGGUGACCGCAUAGACGCCCCCAGUGUGAAGGAGCACCUGCUUCUUGACUUGGGUCUGGAGGCCGAAUACAGGAUCCAGGUGCAUCCCUACAAGUCCAUCCUGAGCG